AACAAACAGGAAUUGGGUUGACAAAUGAAGGCCAAUAAAUGGUAUAGCUUGUGGUGACCCUAUUUAUCGAUCGAUUUCUACACAUAAGCAAUAUAUCUACGGAGAAAAUUUGGAGAAGGAAGAUGACUAUUUGCCAAUUUGGUUCAAUAGACAUCAGCGGUAUGGUGCUAAUAGGAGAAAAGGCACGGAUUAUCAAUUGAAAAUUGAUAUUCCUAAUUUCUAUAGGG
This 227-nucleotide unclassified non-coding RNA is filed under the name Hevea brasiliensis (rubber tree). The record is from RNAcentral. Lineage: Eukaryota; Viridiplantae; Streptophyta; Magnoliopsida; Malpighiales; Euphorbiaceae.